GCUGAUCCCUGGAGCCAGCAUUACACUUCAGCCAUUAACACCAGACAGAAGGAUAUCUACAUCAUCAUAUGGAAGGAAACGUAAAUGGAUGGAGACACAUAUGGAUCACAUUAGUUUACUGUAAAGCUACGUCUUAGUUGGUGCUUAUCUUGGCGAGAGCCGAGUUCAAAUCAGCAUGAAGUUUUAACAUCUACUCUCGUGUAAUGGAAAUCCUGUCUGAUGGAUGCUAAUGUUGUCGUUAUUAACUGUUACACGACUCAAGUACAAAGGGAAUAUGAAUGGAAUAAGUAUACGGUUGGACUGGAAUAUACCUUUUAUUGUAUUACCAGUGCUGAUGCAUUGUAAUUUGUCUGUCUCCAGAGCUUGCUUUCUCUUUCCCCCAGAUCCAAAAGAAAGAUUGCAGAGAAUUAAUGAUUAAUCAAAUUAAAAUUUGUUAUGUGACUUCUCCUCUUGUACAUCCGUGAGUAGAAAAAAUUGUGAUUCCGAACUCUGUUGUAGAUUACAAAAAAGAUAUUUUAUUUGGUACAGUACAGCAGCUGGGUACUCUUAAGCACAAGUUAUAAUAGAAUCCACAAGACAAUACAAUGUUGGGAUUAAUAUACCUUCCCUUAUGACAUCACCCCUUAUUCCUUAACCUAUCAGAAAAUACAAUUACAUACUGAUGCAAGUUUUACAAGCCUAUCAACCAUAAUAUUAUUGAUCACGUGGGGCUCACUUUUCUAAGUUAAUGCAACUUCAAAACAUCCUAAGAUGUUCACUCACAAGGCAAUAAAACUAUAGUUGAAAGGGGAGGAAGAAAUAAGAAAGAUGGAAUAAGCCUUUUGCCUAUUUCCUUUUGAAGUUAAAACUGUGGGUAAGGAUGUUUAGCCAAAGGUGUCAUUUCCCUAAACACAGAGUACAAUUACCUUUUAACUUAUCAUAAAAUUUAGGGUACACUAAAAACUAAAAACUUCACUGCCAUCUGGCUGCUUUACUUAAUAUUGAACCCUUAUUGUCUUCAAAUUAGCUUAGUCUAUGAAAUCUAGAUAAUUUUUAAACUAUCCAGUUUCUCUAAAGUAUAAGUUUAUCCAACAGGUAUCACCUGCAGACACUCCAAUAAGUGAGGUUCUCAUCUACUAGUAGCCGGGUCGGAAGACUAAUGCUCUUGUAGGGAAAGGCCGAAUGCAGGGUGUAUGAAUUAGCCCUGUUCAGAGAGUGAGACAGGGAGGGGAGGGCAAGUAUUGAGGAUGGACUGUUUUCACUGUUUCUCCAAGAUCGACGACACAGAGGGAGGGAGGAAGCACCCUCUGGAGGCGGGCACGGGAUCUGGAUGCAAAGUAUUGGCAAGGAGCCAGUUGGACUUUUUAUGGAGAAGACCACUUUGGAGAAGAUUGCCUUUUGUACUUUGAGGAACGAGACACUCUGUGGCCAUUGAAGAAUUCCUAAUGUUUUGUCUAUGGAUCCUAUGGGAUGUGUCAUGACAUGAUUCUAAGCAUCCUAAUAAUUAACAUUUGAGAAGCCUGACAAGUAUCUAUACAUUUCACGCCGAGGACGAGACCAGUAGCUGAAGCUGCGGAGCCAGCAAAAACCCCUGGAUCACUUUCCCCGGCACGCCACCCUGCACUUGGAGCACAGGUGGACUGUAAGUAUUGGACACUGUUAUUGUAUUAUUGGACUGUGUUUUCUGGACUGCAGUCCUGUGUGUGUGUGUGUACAACUCGUACCAUUGCUGGUAGAGGGGUCGGAAUAUAA
This is a long non-coding RNA of Acipenser ruthenus (sterlet), 1731 nucleotides long. RefSeq lists it as uncharacterized. Lineage: Eukaryota; Metazoa; Chordata; Actinopteri; Acipenseriformes; Acipenseridae. The record is from RefSeq and is a predicted model, not a curated record. The transcript is spliced from 3 exons.